CUAAAAGAUAAGUCAUGCAUGUACACACUCAGGCAAUUUUUUUCAGUUUUAUAAGUUUUAUUCUUGAUAAUAAAAUUCUUUUAACAGAAAACUCUUGAUUGCUAUAGACCUCUGCUGUGUAUUCAGUAGUCACUAGCCACAUGUGGCUAUUUAAGUUAAUUCAAAUUAAAUAAAAUUAAAUAUCAGUUCCUUAUUUGCACUAGUCAGAUUUUAAGGAGUAAGUAGCCACAUGGGCAAGUGGCUACCAUAUUGGACAGUGUGGAUACACAACAAUUCCAUCAUCUCAGAAAGUGUUAUUGGAUAGUGUGGCUACAGACUUUUCUUGCUCAGCAAUCUUAGUCUCCGCAUGUUAGUCUCUUCAUGCAUUAGGUAGCAUCUAUAAAACAUGCCAAAAGGAAAUAGGCUAUCUCUAAAAGUGUCCCAAACUUUUUGUCUUGUAAAUUAGCUUAUCAGCAUACUUGGAGCCUCUUGCCUUAAAAAGGACUUGAUAUAAAUGUGUAUCAGGAGAAAGCCUAUCUUAUGAAGGAAUUAUUCCCUUUUUAUUUGAAUCCAUGUUUGCUUUAUCUUCGGCUCCUGAAAACUGAUACUUUGCAUUUAACAGCAGCAUAUGCCCAGGAUGAAUGAUAAUACAUCUCCUGAUACAGAGCUUGAGGUUACAGAAUAUCUUAAAUUGUUCCAGGAACUGUUGUUAUCAUUUAAGUCCAAUAAUCAGUAAGAUUUCACCCUACCAGAAUACACUUUUUUUUAUUAACUGUCUGGACCUUUGCUGAUUACAUUGUCCGGAAUGUGGAGUAUCGCAUUUGAGAAGAGGAUUGGAUCCUAGCCAUAACAUAAAUAUAAGGGUAAUUACAUCCAUGCUGAGAAAGAUUUAGGAAUGAUAGUAAGUUCAUUUGAGUGAGUGGUUUGGGCCAAACUUGAUAGAGAAUAGUCCAGGAAGACAUUUACUAUAAACAGUAGAUUAAAUGUUCUUGCCUGGUUAAUUACAUUUGAACUCUGUUAAUGACUGAAUCACUCAAACUGCUUAAUUGUAUUAUUAGAUGCACAUUUAAGUUAUGUAUUACAUGUCUUUAGUGGUGAUCAGAAUUUUAUCAGUUCCUCUGUCUUUCUUUAUACCAAGUAUGACUCAUAAACCCAGUAUUAAUUUGCCAAGAGAUUGGCAUACUAUUUGUAUAUAUGCUUUUCUUUCAAAUAAUCUGGAUUCCCAAUGCCCACAAUCAUUGAUCCUAAAGAAAAUGUGAGAGUAGGUAGAUAAACUCAAACAUCCCUACCAUCACCCCUGGUAGGAAAUCACUGGUGUAAUGUAUGAUAUUAACAUCUGCACCAAUUACUCUUAUAGGUGGAACAAUCCAAAGUUUUAAUCAGAGAAGGUGGUGUUCAGUUGCUGCUUACAAUAGUUGAUACCCCAGUAUUUGGAGAUGCAGUGGAUAACAGUAAUUGCUGGCAGCCUGCUAUCAAUUACAUUGAUAGUAAAUUUGAGGACUACCUAAAUGCAGAAUCGCAAGUGAACAGAUGUCAGAUGCCUGGUAACAGGGUGCAGUGUUGUUUAUACUUCAUUGCUCCUUCAGGACAUGGACCAUUACAUAACUGAAGACUCCCACCUUCAGGCAGGUUUGGGUAGUACACGUUUGUAACUACCUGGCAUUGCCUUUUGUUGAAGUAAUUUCAGUUUUUAUUAGUAGUAGUAGUAGUAUACUUUAAGUUCUACAGUAUAUGUUCACAAUGUGCAGGUU
This 1730-nucleotide long non-coding RNA is filed under the name Homo sapiens (human). RNAcentral's name for it is "HSALNT0298577". The record is from RNAcentral. Lineage: Eukaryota; Metazoa; Chordata; Mammalia; Primates; Hominidae.